GAACGCUAGCGGCAGGCCUAAUACAUGCAAGUCGAGGGGCAGCACGGUAGCAAUACUGGUGGCGACCGGCGCACGGGUGCGUAACACGUAUACAAUCUGCCUUUAACUGGGGCAUAACCUUUCGAAAGAGAGACUAAUACCCCAUAAUAGUAGAGAAGGCAUCUUCUUUAUUUGAAAGCUCCGGCGGUUAAAGAUGAGUAUGCGGAUGAUUAGCUAGAUGGUGAGGUAACGGCUCACCAUGGCGACGAUCAAUAGGGGAUCUGAGAGGACUACCCCCCACACUGGUACUGAGACACGGACCAGACUCCUACGGGAGGCAGCAGUAAGGAAUAUUGGACAAUGCUCGCAAGAGUGAUCCAGCCAUGCCGCGUGCAGGAAGACGGCCCUAUGGGUUGUAAACUGCUUUUGAACUAGAGAAAACCCCCUUCGUGAAGGGGGCUGAUAGUAUAGUUAGAAUAAGCAUCGGCUAACUUCGUGCCAGCAGCCGCGGUAAGACGG
RNAcentral lists this ribosomal RNA (498 nucleotides) under uncultured bacterium. Its description in RNAcentral is "bacterial SSU rRNA". It matches the Rfam family "Bacterial small subunit ribosomal RNA", at positions 31 to 528 of the family's 1533-position model. The record is from RNAcentral.